CUNANNNUGCAGUCGAGCGGUAAGGCCUUUCGGGGUACACGAGCGGCGAACGGGUGAGUAACACGUGGGUGAUCUGCCCUGCACUUCGGGAUAAGCCUGGGAAACUGGGUCUAAUACCGGAUAUGACCUCCUAUCGCAUGGUGGGUGGUGGAAAGAUUUAUCGGUGCAGGAUGGGNCCGCGG
Molecule: ribosomal RNA, 182 nt
Filed under: Rhodococcus sp. (in: high G+C Gram-positive bacteria)
Lineage: Bacteria; Bacillati; Actinomycetota; Actinomycetes; Mycobacteriales; Nocardiaceae
Description: Rhodococcus sp. partial 16S ribosomal RNA
Rfam family: Bacterial small subunit ribosomal RNA
Source: RNAcentral